Long non-coding RNA from Polypterus senegalus (gray bichir), 419 nucleotides. RefSeq lists it as uncharacterized. The record is from RefSeq and is a predicted model, not a curated record. Lineage: Eukaryota; Metazoa; Chordata; Cladistia; Polypteriformes; Polypteridae. The transcript is spliced from 3 exons.
AUGUAAACUGGGACAUCCUAGCCAGAAAGAUGAAGAUUUCCAUGUAAAAAAUACUUCCUUUUAACUCAGCCAUGGAAAACCUUUUGCUCAAUCGAACAGAGGAAUCAAAGGCUUCUGAAAGGUGAAAAAGGACCUCUCCUCAGACUUACCAGGAUAAAGAAGUUUGGUACAAUGAACCAGAUAAGACAAAAGUUUGAAAACUUUUAAGUGGCUUAUUAGGCAGUGUUGUGAUACAGGCAAAAGAACCACCAGUUGAUGCUGUUGAACCACAAUCGAGGAAGAAGAAUUUGGUAUAUACAUUACAAAACAAGGAGGCCUGUUUGUUGCAGCCAAAUAUGGAGAUUAUAAAACUAUAAUUUCCACCAGUAAUCCAGAGGAUGAAGCAGUAGCAAUCUGCACAGAAGGGCAAUUUCAAUGUA